Molecule: long non-coding RNA, 593 nt
Organism: Candoia aspera
Lineage: Eukaryota; Metazoa; Chordata; Lepidosauria; Squamata; Candoiidae
Exons: 2
Source: RefSeq, a predicted model, not a curated record
CAAAAAGAAGUGCAAAAAGUGCAAAAAGAUGAGUCCUACAUCAUCCAAGAGUACUGAAAACUCCAAACAACUUUCAAUUGAGAAAUUAUCAUGGCUAAAUAAUCCACAAGGCACAGCAGAUCUUACUGGAUCAAGCCCACACAUGAGCCUCCACAUGGCGUCUGGGAUUCGUGGUCACUUGGCUGGUGACGGAGGGGGUUACUCACUUGCAUUACCUGGCUCACACUGGAUUCACCACUCUACAUGGCUCUUUUGACAUCUUGGUGGAAGGUCCUCUCAAUCAUAUUGCUGGAUCCUAUUGCUACACACAGAGCCACGUGGAGGACAGAAGUUAGCACGAGCCAUUGUACAAGUGGGAUGUCUCCCUUCAUCUCCCAUCAAGGAAGCUGCAUUGAAGAAGGGGGCCAGCUGCACAAGGAAGCUCAUGAACCCUCAUAUUGGACUGAAAUUUGCCAUAUCCAAGUGAGGAGGAGGAACAAAUACAGGAACAUUGCUCAAACAACAUCUAUGAGAGGAAGAUGGAGGAAGUGGGUGACCAUUAGGCUCCAGAACCUAGCCCCAAUUCUCAUAAAUUCAAGGUCUUGUUUUUUGCA